This is a non-coding RNA of Paramuricea clavata, 438 nucleotides long. Lineage: Eukaryota; Metazoa; Cnidaria; Anthozoa; Malacalcyonacea; Plexauridae. The record is from the annotation of a GenBank genome assembly.
CAGUGUUUCUUUAUUGAUUACACUUUUUAUUAUACUAAACAAAGUUAUUUGCAUGGCAGAAUUUGGAAUAAUUCUAUUUCGAACUCAAAGUUUAUCGAUAAAGGCAGUUUAGUUCUAUAUUAAAAGAACACUUUAAAACGUUUUACGAAGCGUUUGUGGUUGAAUUUUACCUUAAAUUGAAGCUUAUAUUACCAUAGGCUGCCCAAAAGUGCGUGUUGUAAUUUUUACCCUCGCGCGUGGCGCUCGGGCAUGCAUCGAGUCUACUCGGUUUAUUAUUAUGACAAGGUUGGCAAGACUUUUAACGGAAAUUUAUUACAACGUUUACUAGAGUAUGUUGUACACGAUUCCAGUACAACAGCAAAUCAGCGCUUCUUCAAGAUUUAAAAAAUAUGACAUCACCACAGGGUACGUGACCCCAGCAUAGUUUUGACAAAAUUU